CAGUAGCCGCGGGAAAACGUAGGGUGCGAGCGCUAAUCGGAAUUACUGGGCGUAAAGCGUGCGCAGGCGGUUGUGUAAGACAGGUGUGAUAUCCCCGGGCUUAACCUGGGAACUGCGCUUGUGACUGCACAGCUAGAGUAUGGCAGAGGGGGGUGGAAUUCCACGUGUAGCAGUGAAAUGCGUAGAGAUGUGGAGGAACACCGAUGGCGAAGGCAGCCCCCUGGGCCAAUACUGACGCUCAUGCACGAAAGCGUGGGGAGCAAACAGGAUUAGAUACCCCUGUAGUCCCUGUCUCUUAUAC
Molecule: ribosomal RNA, 301 nt
Filed under: uncultured bacterium
Lineage: Bacteria
Description: partial 16S ribosomal RNA
Rfam family: Bacterial small subunit ribosomal RNA
Source: RNAcentral